AUCUCAUGAUGAGGACACUUACAAAGUAAUUCCUUGAAUCUUUCCUGGGCCUUAUAUAAAGACUCAUCAUCCAAUUAUUGAAAAGUGGUUAUCUCAUUUAGCAACUU
Molecule: small nucleolar RNA, 107 nt
Filed under: Gossypium hirsutum (cotton)
Lineage: Eukaryota; Viridiplantae; Streptophyta; Magnoliopsida; Malvales; Malvaceae
Also listed under: 1 other name
Description: Plant small nucleolar RNA R71
Rfam family: Plant small nucleolar RNA R71
About the family: R71 is a member of the C/D box family of snoRNAs containing the C (UGAUGA) and D (CUGA) box motifs.
Source: Rfam by way of RNAcentral